Molecule: long non-coding RNA, 266 nt
Filed under: Homo sapiens (human)
Lineage: Eukaryota; Metazoa; Chordata; Mammalia; Primates; Hominidae
Description: HSALNT0349448
Source: RNAcentral
CUCUUUCUUGCUUUGCCUCAUAAUUUUGGACUUACCUAGUAGCUUCUUCUUCUUUUUUUUUUUUUUCCUUUUUCACAUCAGAUGGGAAAUGUGCCAACGUCACAACAAGGUUUGAGGGAGGCACAUCUCAUGCUCGGACAUGAACACCCGAUCAUCAUGCUUAUGAACUACAAAAGGAUCUCCAGUAUGGGCUCACGGCAGCCUAUUCAACGUGAAGAUGACUAAGACAGCAUACCAGCGGUCCAAAUGAUGCCGACUGAGAUCCA